RNAcentral lists this ribosomal RNA (262 nucleotides) under uncultured bacterium. RNAcentral describes it as "partial 16S ribosomal RNA". It matches the Rfam family "Bacterial small subunit ribosomal RNA", at positions 514 to 775 of the family's 1533-position model. The record is from RNAcentral.
GCCGCGGUAAUACGGAGGGUGCGAGCGUUGUCCGGAAUCACUGGGCGUAAAGGGCGCGUAGGCGGUCUGGUAAGCGUGUGGUGAAAGCCCGGGGCUCAACCCCGGGUCUGCCGUGCGAACUGCCGGACUUGAGCACUGUAGAGGCAGACGGAAUUCCGGGUGUAGCGGUGGAAUGCGUAGAGAUCCGGAAGAACACCGGUGGCGAAGGCGGUCUGCUGGGCAGUUGCUGACACUGAGGCGCGACAGCGUGGGGAGCAAACAG